GAGGAAGAAGAGGAGUAGAGGAACAGCAGGGGAUGGAUGAUAUUAUCGCCGCACUUUCUGCCUAGAAAUCCUGUCUCUUGUGCGGAGAGGGGCCACAAUGUCCAUCCUCCCUCUGUUUUGUCGUGUCCUGCUGCCUUAUUAGCCGUCGGUGCAUGUCGGGACCUGAAAUAGAUUAUAAAUAGAUAAAUUGAUCAGAGCAAUGUGAUGGGUGAAGACGCCUGGGUGUUUAAGCGGCUUCUUUAUUUGUCUGUUCAAGGGCAUAAUAAUCUAUGACAAUAAAUUCGGUCUUUUUUUUGUUGUUGCCCUGACUGUGUCAUAGAAAAGAACAAUACCAAACCCCCUCUCCACACUCAUCGGGAUGAAAGAAAGGCAAAAGGAGGGGAGAAUAAAACGAGGGAGGGAGACGUGUUUCAGAGAAAGAGAGAGCAAGAGCAAAACUACAGGGGAAUGGAAAUGGUAAAAUAUUCAUGAGGGAGAGACACAGAGAGAGAGAGAGAGAGAGAGGGCAGAAAGGAAGGAGACAAAGAGUCGGACGUAGUGUACGUAUGUGUGUGAGCGUGAGUAUUAUUCCUAAUGAGAGACAUCCCGCCGUAGAGGCUUUGUUAAUCAAACGUUGUCUUUUAUCUGCGCGUCAGUUGCAGUCCGCUAUUAAUUUCCAUAGACAAGAGCGUCUGUACAGUGUCCCUACAGGAACACAUUUGCAUGAAAAUAGAGGGGUCAGAAAGGGCCGAGAGCACAUAAAGCCCUCUUUGAGUUGUGUGAAGUAGUGUGUUGUGUGAGGUAGCACGCGUGUGUGUGAAGUCCAGUUUCCUUCCCUAAAGCAGGAAAGUAGGCUUGUUGGAACAGAUAUUUGAAACAGAUAAACGUUAUACAACUUCUUUCUUUGAGUGAGGGGAGUGGGUUUGAAGGCUGCUUGUUGAUUUAACAUAAUUGUUGUUGUAUUCUGCCCUCUGCUGGCCCUCAGCGGUCACCAAGCCACUGACUGGGGACGUUCGCUGUUGACGUGUUUCCGCCAACGUGUUCACGCUCGUCUUUUCUCCUUCUAAAAAGCAGAAACCUCUAAAGUGUCAGUUGACUCAGAGGUGCACUUCUUAAGAGUGUGGAUUAGUACUUCAUCAGGCCGGCCUGAGUUAGAGGACAACAUUUACAAUUUUGACAGCAUGUUCCCAUGAUCCUGGUGUGUUUCCAAUAUAUAAAAAAAUGUGUACAUGGAAACCGGUUUCUACAUAUCACCCAAAAUGAGAGGAUACGACCUCCACAUACAUUUAUCCUAAGUGCUGCAUAUUACAGUAGGAACAAGGUGUUAGGUCAUGAAAAAACCUGUCUCAAACCCUCAUGAUAAUCUGUGUGUGUGUGUGUGUGUGUGUGUGUGUGUGUGUGUGUGUGUGUGUGUGUGUGUUAGUCAUCAAACGUGUGCGCAUGAACAAAUCUCCGCAGAUUGAAACUCUGACCCGCAGGAAAAGCAGAGGUGGCAGUUAGCCUCACCCAGCUUGUCAACUGUAGAGAUUUCUCUGCUCCACCCUGGGAUGGACCGAGACACAAGGUGUUGCUGGUUUGACUGGUCUGAGGAUCAGCUAACAAAAGAGAUUCAUGUAAAGAAGUUGUCUUGGCAGCAGUUUCACACUUCCGCCGACCCUAUGCAAAGAGUUCACACUUUAAAGGCACAGGCCUGAGGAGAAAGUAGAGCAAUUUUAUGGAGGCAUUUUUUUAAGGAAAUAACUGUAGGCCUAUGGACAUAUUCAUUAUUUUAGAGUCAAUACUGACGUCUUAAUCCACCAAUCUGGGUAGUAUAAAAGGAUUCAAAUGUAACUCAUUACUAAAACCCCUGAAUAAACAGUGAGGACAUGGCCUGAUCACAGUUCUUUUUUACUCUUUCAUUACCUUUUUUAUUUCUCAAAAGAUGUAAACAUCCCCCCAGUCAUCCCGGCUUCUCACGCCACUCGGGCUGAGAGGUCUGGCGGCGGUUCAAGUGAAACUCCUGCGUGUUUGCGCGCUCACUUUAGCGGUUCUGGCAUGAAAAAUGUUUGGUGCUCUUGAAUCUAACCUCUUUUCUAAGGGUUCCUCGAGGAUUCCCCCAAAACCUUCAGGGUCACGAGGAGGCAGGGCCCUGCUCUGUGUUGCAUCAGUCGGUGUUUUUCGUCAUGUCACAGGUCAAACGGGUGAGGAGGACUAAUGGGUUUCACUGCAGCAGCUCCAUGAAGACACAGUAUGUGCCAAAAAGCACGGUUGGCUGGAAAGCAACAGAAACUGCUGCAGGUUUGCACUUGUCCUCUGAGGUCCUACCGUCUGGAUAUUCAAUCUGACUGUGUGUGUGUCUUUGUGUGUGUUAUGCGCGUGAUGUGAUGAAUCAAAUCAAUAGAGCGAGUCAAACGUUCCUGUAUCUCUUGUUCUUCACAGCUCUGUUCUUGUUAAUCCUUUUAAUUAUUGGGAGCAGUGUGACUUUUGUCCCUACUUGUGUCAAAGUAUUUGUUAUUUUCAUGUGUGGAAACAGAGUAGAGGAGCUUAUGAAUGCUAAACUGCAUUACAGUUAAAAGCUGUUAAGAGAACAAACUGUUUAAAGACACAAAAUCCUGCAUACAAAGUCCUUGUGGUCGCGUUGCAUCUUCUGUGUUUAGGGGGAAACAGUAAAACAAGGUCGGAGGACGCUUUGACCGGAAACGUCUGGACCAACAGGCCGAAGAAAGGAACCGAAUCAUCCGUCCAAUGAUAUAUGGAGUUCAUCCAUCAAAUGUUUACACAUCACAUCCAAAAUACAGGUUUAGAUCAUUAAUUAAAGAAAUAUCACACUGAAGCUACAUGAAAACAUUCCGCCAAAUCAAACAGUGACUGUGAAUGUUUCCUCAAUAAUGUGUGUUCAAUAUUUUCAAGAUUCUGUUUCUGUUUCCUGUUUCCUGAAAGGACACAUUUUGGGUUAAACAGCUAAUCUGUUGAGCAAAGAAUCCUCUUCUGCUGAGCGGUGCGCCUGCAAGUGUGCAUGCGUGAGAGUGAACGUACGCGGGCCUGCGUGACAUGAAGAUGACAUGAAGUUCCACAGCACGCAUGAAUCCAGCCUUUUCUUUCUCGGAAAAGAGAGGCACGUUCUUUGGGUGUCAUAUAAUCUAUCCACGGCAGUGACAAAGUACAUUCACUGAAGUACUGAGCUAAAUAACUACUUUGAGUUACUUGUCUUUCAUCAGAAUAUUUUAACAAGUCUGCUUCCAUAUCUCUAAAUUUCAAUGUUUCAAAUAAAUUGGAAUGAGUUCAAGCUUGACUUCCCCCCUCUGACUAAAUCUUCACGGCGGCUGACUUGUUCGCAGCACAAAGCACGGACGUGGACGAGGCAGACUGAGAGACUUAGAAGUGGAAGAGCUUGUUUGACGAUCUCCCACGCUUUCUUCAACAACAACCUCCUUCAGUCAAAAGUCACCUCACCGGUCCCGUCCCCAAACCUCCACCUCUCCACGAGGCGCCCAUGUGACUUGGAAAUAAGGCGCACAUUGUUGGCCGCCUGGUCUGAAGUCGCGAAGGUUGAGCAAUUAUCAGCAAGUGGAAAAAAAGGCAGGCUCAAGUGGAGUCUAGCUGCAGCAUGCGGGUCUGCCGUGCCCUCUGCGCUUGUUUUCACUGUCAUCAUUGGGAACGACGUGAUAGCAUCAAACCCCGGCCUCAGCGAAUUCACUGAAAAACAUCACAACAUCGUCUCUAUGGAGACAAUCAGAGGAGACUGUAAUUGAAAAAGCAAAAAAAAAAAA
Molecule: non-coding RNA, 3728 nt
Organism: Gasterosteus aculeatus aculeatus (three-spined stickleback)
Lineage: Eukaryota; Metazoa; Chordata; Actinopteri; Perciformes; Gasterosteidae
Source: RefSeq, a predicted model, not a curated record